CCCUUAGAUGUCCUGGGCCGCACGCGUGCUACACUGACGCAUACAGCGAGCACUUUCCAGUUCCGAGAGGCUACUGGUAAUCAUCAAUAUGCGUCGUGAUGGGGAUAGAUCUUUGGAAUUCUGGAUCUUGAACGAGGAAUGCCUAGUAAUCGCAGGUCGUUAGCCUGCGAUGAUUAAGUCCCUGCCCUUUGUACACACCGCCCGUCGCUACUACCGAUUUCGAGUGGUCAGGUGAAUCUUUCGGACUGUGGGCGCCCUUGAGGUGUUCGCGGAAAGUCAGGUAAAUCUUAUCACUUAGAGGAAGUAAAAGUCGUAACA
RNAcentral lists this ribosomal RNA (318 nucleotides) under uncultured eukaryote. RNAcentral's name for it is "partial 18S ribosomal RNA". It matches the Rfam family "Eukaryotic small subunit ribosomal RNA", at positions 1470 to 1796 of the family's 1831-position model. The record is from RNAcentral.